AAGUCGAACGAACUCUGGUAUUGAUUGGUGCUUGCAUCAUGAUUUACAUUUGAGUGAGUGGCGAACUGGUGAGUAACACGUGGGAAACCUGCCCAGAAGCGGGGGAUAACACCUGGAAACAGAUGCUAAUACCGCAUAACAACUUGGACCGCAUGGUCCGAGCUUGAAAGAUGGCUUCGGCUAUCACUUUUGGAUGGUCCCGCGGCGUAUUAGCUAGAUGGUGGGGUAACGGCUCACCAUGGCAAUGAUACGUAGCCGACCUGAGAGGGUAAUCGGCCACAUUGGGACUGAGACACGGCCCAAACUCCUACGGGAGGCAGCAGUAGGGAAUCUUCCACAAUGGACGAAAGUCUGAUGGAGCAACGCCGCGUGAGUGAAGAAGGGUUUCGGCUCGUAAAACUCUGUUGUUAAAGAAGAACAUAUCUGAGAGUAACUGUUCAGGUAUUGACGGUAUUUAACCAGAAAGCCACGGCUAACUACGUGCCAGCAGCCGCGGUAAUACGUAGGUGGCAAGCGUUGUCCGGAUUUAUUGGGCGUAAAGCGAGCGCAGGCGGUUUUUUAAGUCUGAUGUGAAAGCCUUCGGCUCAACCGAAGAAGUGCAUCGGAAACUGGGAAACUUGAGUGCAGAAGAGGACAGUGGAACUCCAUGUGUAGCGGUGAAAUGCGUAGAUAUAUGGAAGAACACCAGUGGCGAAGGCGGCUGUCUGGUCUGUAACUGACGCUGAGGCUCGAAAGUAUGGGUAGCAAACAGGAUUAGAUACCCUGGUAGUCCAUACCGUAAACGAUGAAUGCUAAGUGUUGGAGGGUUUCCGCCCUUCAGUGCUGCAGCUAACGCAUUAAGCAUUCCGCCUGGGGAGUACGGCCGCAAGGCUGAAACUCAAAGGAAUUGACGGGGGCCCGCACAAGCGGUGGAGCAUGUGGUUUAAUUCGAAGCUACGCGAAGAACCUUACCAGGUCUUGACAUACUAUGCAAAUCUAAGAGAUUAGACGUUCCCUUCGGGGACAUGGAUACAGGUGGUGCAUGGUUGUCGUCAGCUCGUGUCGUGAGAUGUUGGGUUAAGUCCCGCAACGAGCGCAACCCUUAUUAUCAGUUGCCAGCAUUAAGUUGGGCACUCUGGUGAGACUGCCGGUGACAAACCGGAGGAAGGUGGGGAUGACGUCAAAUCAUCAUGCCCCUUAUGACCUGGGCUACACACGUGCUACAAUGGAUGGUACAACGAGUUGCGAACUCGCGAGAGUAAGCUAAUCUCUUAAAGCCAUUCUCAGUUCGGAUUGUAGGCUGCAACUCGCCUACAUGAAGUCGGAAUCGCUAGUAAUCGCGGAUCAGCAUGCCGCGGUGAAUACGUUCCCGGGCCUUGUACACACCGCCCGUCACACCAUGAGAGUUUGUAACACCCAAAGUCGGUGGGGUAACCUUUUAGGAACCAGCCGC
RNAcentral lists this ribosomal RNA (1432 nucleotides) under Lactiplantibacillus plantarum. RNAcentral describes it as "bacterial SSU rRNA". It matches the Rfam family "Bacterial small subunit ribosomal RNA". Lineage: Bacteria; Bacillati; Bacillota; Bacilli; Lactobacillales; Lactobacillaceae. The record is from RNAcentral.